UACAGAGGGUGCGAGCGUUAAUCGGAAUUACUGGGCGUAAAGCGUGUGUAGGUGGUUAGAUAAGUUAGAUGUGAAAACUCUGGGCUUAACCUGGGAACUGCGUUUAAGACUGUUUAGCUAGAGUACUGUAGAGGAUAGUGGAAUUUCCAGUGUAGCGGUGAAAUGCGUAGAUAUUGGAAGGAACACCAGUGGCGAAGGCGACUAUCUGGAUAGAUACUGACACUGAGACACGAAAGCGUGGGGAGCAAACAGG
This 253-nucleotide ribosomal RNA is filed under the name uncultured bacterium. Its description in RNAcentral is "partial 16S ribosomal RNA". It matches the Rfam family "Bacterial small subunit ribosomal RNA", at positions 524 to 776 of the family's 1533-position model. The record is from RNAcentral.